ACAGCAUCCUCAACUUCAGAAAUUCCCACAAGCACAGUUGUGAGUAAAGAAACCACACCUAUUACUUCAACAGUGGUGCCUACAACUUCAGAGAGUACAACAGCAGAAACCACGACUACAGCUUCAUCAACAAUUUCUACAACAACAAACAAUCCAACAUCAAAAGCUGUAACUUCAGCAUCCACAGCUCUCACUUCAACAACAGUGCCUGCAUCUUCAGAAACAACUGCACCUGUAACAACUUCAGUAACUACAGCAUCCUCAACUACUGAAAUUCCUACAACCACAGUUGUGAGUACAGAAACCACACCUAUUACUUCAACAGUGGUGCAUUCAACUUCAGAAAGUACAACACUAGAAACCACGACUACAGCUUCAUCAUCCACACCUGCAACAACAAACAAUCCAACAACAUCAACAGUUGUACCUUCAGAAUCCACAACUCUCACUUCAACAACAUUGCCUACAUCUUCAGAAACAACUGCACCUGUAAAAACAUCAGUAACUACAGCAUCCUCAACUUCUGAAAUUCCCACAAGCACAGUUGUGAGUAAAGAAACCACACCUAUUACUUCAACAGUGGUGCCUACAACUUCAGAGAGUACAACAGCAGAAACCACGACUACAGCUUCAUCAUCCACACCUGCAACAACAAACAAUCCAACAACAUCAACAGUUAUACCUUCAGAAUCCUCAACUCUCACUUCAACAACAUUGCCUACAUCUUCAGAAACAACUGCACCUGUAACAACUUCAGUAACUAAAGCAUCCUCAACUAUCAAAAUUUCCACAACCACAGCUGUGAGUACAGAAACCACACCUAUUACUUCAACAGUGUUGCCCACAACUUUGAAGAGUACAACAGCUGAAACCAUGACUACAGCUUCAUCAACCACACCUACAAAAACGAACAAUCCAACAACAUCAACAUUUGUAACUUCUGAAUCUACAACUCCUACUUCAACAGUUAUAGCUACAUCUUCAGAAACAACUACACCUCUAACAAAAUCAGUAACUACAGCAUCCUCAACUACUGAAAUUCCCACAACCACAGUUGUGAGUACUGAAUCCAUAACUCUUACUUCAACAGCUAAGCCUACAUCUUCAGAAUCUACUGCAACUGUAACAUCAGUAACUACAGUAUCCUCAAAAACCUAUAUUCCCACAACCACGGUUGUGAGAACAGAAACCACACCUAUCAUUUCGACAGUGGUGCCUACAACUUCAGAGAGUACAACGGCAGAAGCUAUGACUACGGCUUCAUCAACUAUAUUUACAGCAAAGAACACUCCAACAACAUCAACAGCUGUAACUUCAGAAUCCUCAACUCUCACUUCAACAACAGUGCCUACAUCUUCAGAAACAACUGCACCUGUAACAACAUCAGUAACUACAGCUUCCUCACCUACAACUGUACCUUCCUCUAUGACAUCAGCUCCAAUGUCAUCUGAAGCUCCAAGUACAACAACAUCUAAAACCACAUUGCUGCUUGCAACCACAUCUACUGGAGCUCUCACAUCCACUGUUGUGACUUCAGGAGCAACAACUCUUACGUCUACAACAAUGCCUACAACAUCAGAAAGUACAACUACACCUGCAGCAAGCACAACUGCAGCUUCCACAGCCACAGUGGGGCCAUCCACUACUGUGACUACAGCUUCCGAAAUUACAACUGCAUCUUCAACAUCUACAGCUUCCUCAGCUGCGAUAGUGCAUUCUACUACUACAUCAUCAUCUCCAACCUCAUCUGAAUCUCGAGGUACAGCAACUAAUUAUCCAACAACAUCAACAGCUGUAAUUUCAACAACAAUGGCUACAUCUUCAGAAACAUCUGCACCUGUAACAACAUCAGUAACUACAGCUUCCUCAUCUAUAAAUGUACCUUCCUCUAUGACAUCAGCUCCAAUGUCAUCUGAAGCUCCAAGUGCAACAACAGCUCAAACCACAAUGCCACUUGCACCUGCAACUACUGAAACACUCACAAUCACCAAAAUGACUUCAGAAACCACAACUGCACCAACAACAUCGAUAACUACAACGUCCACAACUACCACUGUAGCUUCAACGACAACAGCAGCUUCUCUUGCAACAACCACAACUACAGCUUCCAUCACCACAACCAUUCCUUCCACUUCUACAUCAGAUCAAACCACACCUAAGGCUGCAAGUACAACAUCAAAAGGUCCGAACACAAAUUCAGAAAGUAUAACUUCACCUGCUGUAACCACAGAUUCCACAACCAUGAUGGAAUAUUCAACUACUACAUCAAGUUUAACCCCAGCCACAACUACUGAAACCUCAACUCUUACUUCACCAACAAUGUCUACAACUUCAGAAAGUACUCCUGCACCUGCAACAUCCACCAUUACAGCUUCCUCUUCUACGAAUAACUAUCCCACAACAGAAAAUCCAUCUCAAACCUCAACUUCAAUUCCAGGCACAAACACACCUACAGCGGCAACAACAACUGCAUUCCGAAUAACAACUGCACCUCUAUCAACCACAACUAUUGCUUUCACUAAUACAGCUCCAGCUCUAAGCCAAGCAGGACUCCUUACCACAACAAAUGCACCUCCAAUUAUCACAACUGUGUCUCCGGAGACUGUAACUAUUGCUGUAACAAUUAUGCCUAUCUCAUCAUCACAUGUAACUAUAUCCCCAACUUUAACUCCAAUAAAAACAACUGAACCUCCAAGAACCCCAACUACACCCAUUACAACCAUGACUGUUCUUCCCACCACUACAGUUCCAGCUGAUAUCUCAACUACAGCUCCAACCACAACAACAGCCACUAUUCCAAGUUCAACUGCAGCUCAAACAACAACUGCAUUUCAAGUAACAACAGGAGAUCUUUUAAGAACAACUGUAGCUUUUACCAACACAUCUUCUGCUCCAGCCACACUUGCACUUUCAACCAAAACAACUCCAAUCCCAAACAUGGAUUCAGAAACUACAACUGCAUCAACAACUACAACUGGAAUUAAUACAGGUCUCACCAGUGCAGCAGAAUUUCCAAUAGCUCCAAUAACAUCAGUUUCAAACACAAAUGCAUCAACAUCCCCAGCAUCUACAAUUCCAAGUCAAUCAUCAAUCAAAACAACACCAGCUGAAACUCUUUCUAGCAAUACUACACCUCUAAACAAUGCAACAAAAGCAGAUGCAUCUGCAACACUUCAAAGUACUUCAAGUUUGCAACCAGAAACUUCAAACAUACCCAAAACAUUGUCAACAAAUGUGACUGGUGCAGCAACAGUCACAACCAUAUUGGUAUUCUCAUCCUUGUCGUCAGUGCCCAAUGAAAAUUUGGUCCUAGGUGCUAUCAGUACUCUUCUGGAAUCUAGACAGUCCCAACUCAAUGGAUCACUGAAGAUUGUAAAAUUUACUUAUCAGAAAAUCUCAGAAACCUCCUAUGCUGUGGUCUUUACAUUUAACGUGAUUAACAUCACCAUGCCAGAGGAACCUAAGUCUAGAGGCAACACCAACCAGAAAGUGCAGGAUACCAUCAAUAAUGCGCUGAAUACUCUUCUGAAUGAACCUGGAAGUCCAACUUUACAACCAAAGUCCUCCAACUUCACAAGCACUUCAAACCAGAUUGAUGGCAGGAUGGAAUACACCUUCCAGGAUGGAGAUGUCAUACAACCAGUCAGCUUCCUCAAUGAGCUACGUCUACCAACCACUACAACAGUGUUUCCCGAAACAACAUUUGGUUUCUCUGUGACUCCUUCAAACCUCAUAUCUGGUUCAGCAGUGGUCACAAGCAAGCUGGUGUUCAACUCCUCAUCUCCAGUCCCCAGUGAAUCUCUGGUCCUCAAUGCAAUCAAAACUCUGCGUAAUUCCAGAGAGUCACAGCUCAAUGAAUCGGUGAAGGUGGUGAAUGUCACCUAUGAGAAAAUCUCAGAAACCUCCUAUGCUGUGGUCUUUACAUUUAACGUGAUUAACAUCAGCAUGCCAGAGGACCCUGUGUCUAGAGGCAACACCAACCAGAAAGUGCAGGAUACCAUCAAUAAUGCGCUGAACACUCUUCUGAAUGAACCUGGAAGUCCAACUUUACAACCAAAGUCCUCCAACUUCACGUAAGAUGCGAACUCGCUUCACAGUCUUUACUUCAUGUGUCCUCUUAUUUUAGCUCAUUGAAGCUACGUAAAGUUACAAAAAAAAAUUAGGAUUUGUAAUAAAAAAAAAAAAAAAAAAACUUUUUCAAGAUGUGGAUUAAAGUCCUUAACAAAUAUCUAUUGUUUGUCUUGUAGAAGCACUUCAAACCAGAUUGAUGGCAGGAUGGAAUACAGCUUCCAGGAUGGAGAUGUCAUACAACCAGUCAGCUUCCUCAAUGAGCUACGUCUACCAACCACUACAACAGUGUUUCCAGAAACAACAACCAGUGUUUCUGUUACUACUCCAAACCUCAUAUCUGGUUCAGCAGUGGUCACAAGCAAGCUGGUGUUCAACUCCUCAUCUCCAGUCCCCAGUGAAUCUCUAGUCCUCAAUGCAAUCAAAACUCUGCGUAAUUCCAGAGAGUCACAGCUCAAUGAAUCGGUGAAGGUGGUGAAUGUCACCUAUGAGAAGAUCUCAGAAACCUCCUAUGCUGUGGUCUUUACAUUUAACGUGAUUAACAUCAGCAUGCCAGAGGACCCUGUGUCUAGAGGCAACACCAACCAGAAAGUGCAGGAUACCAUCAAUAAUGCGCUGAACACUCUUCUGAAUGAACCUGGAAGUCCAACUUUACAACCAAAUUCCUCCAACUUCACUAGCACUUCAAACCAGAUUGAUGGCAGGAUGGAAUACACCUUCCAGGAUGGAGAUGUCAUACAACCAGUCAGCUUCCUCAAUGAGCUACGUCUACCAACCACUACAACAGUGUUUCCCGAAACAACAUUUGGUUUCUCUGUGACUCCUUCAAACCUCAUAUCUGGUUCAGCAGUGGUCACAAGCAAGCUGGUGUUCAACUCCUCAUCUCCAGUCCCCAGUGAAUCUCUGGUCCUCAAUUCAAUCAAAACUCUGCGUAAUUCCAGAGAGUCACAGCUCAAUGAAUCGGUGAAGGUGGUGAAUGUCACCUAUGAGAAAAUCUCAGAAACCUCCUAUGCUGUGGUCUUUACAUUUAACGUGAUUAACAUCAGCAUGCCAGAGGACCCUGUGUCUAGAGGCAACACCAACCAGAAAGUGCAGGAUACCAUCAAUAAUGCGCUGAACACUCUUCUGAAUGAACCUGGAAGUCCAAAUUUACAACCCAAGUCAUCAAACUUCACAAGCACUUCAAACCAGAUUGAUGGCAGGAUGGAAUACAGCUUCCAGGAUGGAGAUGUCAUACAACCAGUCAGCUUCCUCAAUGAGCUACGUCUACCAACCACUACAACAGUGUUUCCAGAAACAACAACCAGUGUUUCUGUUACUACUUCAAACCUCAUAUCUGGUUCAGCAGUGGUCACAAGCAAGCUGGUGUUUCAACUCCUCAUCUCCAGUCCCCAGUGAAUCUCUGGUCCUCAAUGCAAUCAAAACUCUGCGUAAUUCCAGAGAGUCACAGCUCAAUGAAUCGGUGAAGGUGGUGAAUGUCACCUAUGAGAAAAUGUCAGAAACCUCCUAUGCUGUGGUCUUUACAUUUAACGUAAUUAACAUCAGCAUGCCAAAGGAACCUGUGUCUAGAGGCAACACCAACCAGAAAGUGCAGGAUACCAUCAAUAAAGCGCUGAAUACUCUUCUGAAUGAACCUGGAAGUCCAACUUUUCAACCAAAGUCAUCAAACUUCACAAGCACUUCAAACCAGAUUGAUGGCAGAAUGGAAUACACCUUCCAGGAUGGAGAUGUCAUACAACCAGUCAGCUUCCUCAAUGAGCUUCGUUCACAGACAGUCUUAACGACAGCCAGCACUCUGACAACUACUCCACUGAUAGUGCGUGGCAAAGCGCUUAUAUUCAUUCGCCUCGUGUUUGUCACACUGGGCCCCCUGCCAAAUCCAGAGAAGGUUCUUGAGGUGGCCAACACUCUGCUUCAGACGCGUCUCAAAACUAAACAAGACACCAGUACUCAAGACCUGAGUGAUCCUGUGAGCUUUGUCAAUGUCACAUAUACAAAAAUAAAUGAGACGGCCUAUGCUCUCAACUUUGGAUUUGAAAUCAGCAAUAUAACCAUGACAGAGAAGCUUGAACUCAGGAAUGGCACCCACCUGUUAAUACAAGACUCUAUAAACUCAUUGCUGGGCAAGAUCCUUCUCAGUAACUCAUCAGCGCCUAUCAUUAAGUUCCAACCAGCUGAUUUCACGGGUAAUUCCACAGUAAUUAAGGCCAAUGUAGAGUAUGUUUUCUCACCAAGUGACAUCACGCAACCCAGCAUCUUUGUUCAGGAACUUCUCCAACUUAAUGAAGCGAGCACUCUGACAAGCACAACUUCACCACCGAUCUUGACUAGGAGGGCAAUUAUUAAGAUUCGUCUGGAGUUUAUCACACUGGGCCCAAGACCAAGUGAGAGUAAUGUUCUACAGGUGGUUAAAUCUAUGCUGGCCACAAAUCUCACAACUAAACUAACCACGAGAGUAACAAGCGUGAGCGAACCUGUGACCUUGAAUAAUGUUGUGUAUAUCGGAAUUAAUGACACCGCCUACGCACUGAUUUUUGCAUUCGAAAUGAACAAAGUAUUACUGACAGAGAUACAAAGGCAAGAAGCCUACAAAGAAAUCCAAAACAAGAUAAAUGAUUUGGUGAAGCAGAUACUAAAGGACCCCUCGGUUAAUCUGCUCAUUCCAGCCGAUUUCAAGGAUGAUCUCCUUGUGAUCGAGGCCAAUGUUACGUAUGUUUUCUCAGAACGUAACAGUAACACGGGCUCCGGUUUCUUGGUCAGUGCCCUUUUCAAGGCUUUUACCACACCAGCUCCAACCACCAUGAACACUACAAUCUCAAACAACAGUACUAAUGCAGCAUGGAUUGUGGCUAUCAUUGUCCCCUGUGCUAUUGUCAUCGGGCUCGUACCUUGCUGGAUUCUCCUUUGCUGUUUGCUGUGUGGUUGCUGUGCAGCAAUCAGAAGACGCUGGCACAGAAGACAGUCGUACAAUGUGCAGUACACCACUCGAAACAGUCUCUUCUAAAGAGUUCUGAGAUAUUUGACAAAAGCAGGACUGAAAACCAAUGAGAACAUAAAAAUCAUGGAUUUUGGAUAUUCAAUAUGCUAUCAAUACUGCUUCUUUUGUAGUAUUGAAAGUACUAUGUUAAUGCUUCUUUAUAAACUAUUUAUUUUAUUAUCCUAGACAAACAGGUCCUCCAUAAAAUAUUCCUUAAUGUGACAUUUUAAUACGUCCUAUAGUCUAUAAUGAAAUUGUAUUAUUGUUAUUUAUUUGUAUUUAUUUGUAAUAUUCUGUUUAUGUUUACAGUUAAUCUUUUGCAAAUCAUUAAUCUGCUUGACAUUACACAUUUUAAUUUAAAGGGACAAAAGGUAGAACAUUAGCUAUUAUUUAUUCAUACUCCAUGCACUUUAACUUUAUAAAUGUAAAGGAAGCUUGUGAUGUAAAGGAAAUGCAAAAAAAGCUCAUUUACGUAAGUCAUUGGCAUGAACAUGUUAAACUGAAAAAUAAAUAAGAAUAAAAACUGUAAUUAGACAAUACUAGAUCAAUAAAGAAU
Molecule: long non-coding RNA, 7601 nt
Organism: Cyprinus carpio carpio
Lineage: Eukaryota; Metazoa; Chordata; Actinopteri; Cypriniformes; Cyprinidae
Source: Ensembl